ACCAGUCUCAGAGGUUUCUGGGGCAGGGGUGGGGGGGACUGAAAAUUCUCCAACUCCAAAAUUUGUGAUUAGUGACCUCUUAUUUUUAAAAACUUAAAUGCAGAGAAAAAUAAUCUGGCUAGAAGUAUAGAAGAUCCUCUUCUUUGUGCCUCACUACUUAAUUUAUUUGAAGAAUUGUUAUGAAAUCUUAAGUUCCUGCAUAUCCUUGUGAAGUCAAAACUUGCAUAGAAGAAAGGAAGGAAGAGGAAGGAAAGAGAAAGAAAGAAAGGAAGAAAGGUGGCACAUUCCUAACACUUAAAAAAGGGAAACAAAAACAAUUCAUUCCUUUGAAGCAGGUAUCAAGAUUUUUCUAGAAAUAUACCACGGACUAGAAUUGCCGGAUUGAAGGAAUUUGCUGUGGAAAAGGAGAGCCGCAAAGCUUCUGAUCUCUAAUUUCAAGGCAAGUGGGUUCUUCAGGGUUGGAUUGUUUCUAUUCAAAGUGAAGUCAGAGUAGGAAUGGAUCUUUCCUAUUAUUUAAUAUG
This is a non-coding RNA of Sus scrofa (pig), 521 nucleotides long. The record is from RefSeq and is a predicted model, not a curated record. Lineage: Eukaryota; Metazoa; Chordata; Mammalia; Artiodactyla; Suidae.